NACUUUCAACAACGGAUCUCUUGGCUCUCGCAUCGAUGAAGAACGCAGCGAAAUGCGAUAAGUAAUGUGAAUUGCAGAUUUUCAGUGAAUCAUCGAAUCUUUGAACGCACCUUGCGCCCCUUGGUAUUCCGAGGGGCAUGCCUGUUUGAGUGUCAUU
This 157-nucleotide ribosomal RNA is filed under the name Tylospora fibrillosa. RNAcentral's name for it is "5.8S ribosomal RNA". It matches the Rfam family "5.8S ribosomal RNA". From Rfam's summary of the family: 5.8S ribosomal RNA (5.8S rRNA) is a component of the large subunit of the eukaryotic ribosome. It is transcribed by RNA polymerase I as part of the 45S precursor that also contains 18S and 28S rRNA. Functionally, it is thought that 5.8S rRNA may be involved in ribosome translocation. Lineage: Eukaryota; Fungi; Basidiomycota; Agaricomycetes; Atheliales; Atheliaceae. The record is from RNAcentral.